This 420-nucleotide long non-coding RNA is filed under the name Pan troglodytes (chimpanzee). Its description in RNAcentral is "long non-coding RNA NONPTRT000527". Lineage: Eukaryota; Metazoa; Chordata; Mammalia; Primates; Hominidae. The record is from RNAcentral.
CCCCACAAGAUUAAAGAAGAGUUAAAGCAAGAAUCCUCAUGACAAGGGGUGGCUACUCUGGCAUUUUCAAGUCUUGAGGUUGCUGUUUUCCAGGGGGUGAUGUGAUAUGACCCUAGCCAACAUGUAGAGCUGGUUUUGUGGACUGUGCCUGUGUGCUUGUGAGAAAGCAGAGCAACAGAGGGAGGCAGAGUUAGAGCUAGUUGCAGAAGGAAAGGCAAUUUUUGAAGUUUGUUCAGAGCCCCAGAGGCAGGAUGGCUAAGGGCCUUCUGGGGUCCUCCUACUGCUGUUGCUGUACUCAGCCUUGCCUGGGACAUGUGUACAUCCCCCAAAGAACUGCUGUGCCAUCGUGAACCAACAGAGAAGAGAGGGGAGGAGAACACCUCCUAGUCAAUAACAUAUAUGCAUUUAAUAAGAAAUGCC